AUUGAACGCUAGCGGGAUGCUUUACACAUGCCAGUCGAACGGCAGCGCGGACUUCGGUCUGGCGGCGAGUGGCGAACGGGUGAGUAAUGUAUCGGAACGUGCCCAGUAGCGGGGGAUAACUACGCGAAAGCGUAGCUAAUACCGCAUACGCCCUACGGGGGAAAGCAGGGGAUCGUAAGACCUUGCACUAUUGGAGCGGCCGAUAUCGGAUUAGCUAGUUGGUGAGGUAACGGCUCACCAAGGCGACGAUCCGUAGCUGGUUUGAGAGGACGACCAGCCACACUGGGACUGAGACACGGCCCAGACUCCUACGGGAGGCAGCAGUGGGGAAUUUUGGACAAUGGGGGCAAGCCUGAUCCAGCCAUCCCGCGUGUGCGAUGAAGGCCUUCGGGUUGUAAAGCACUUUUGGCAGGAAAGAAACGACGCGGGCUAAUACCCCGUGGAACUGACGGUACCUGCAGAAUAAGCACCGGCUAACUACGUG
RNAcentral lists this ribosomal RNA (484 nucleotides) under uncultured bacterium. Its description in RNAcentral is "partial 16S ribosomal RNA". It matches the Rfam family "Bacterial small subunit ribosomal RNA", at positions 30 to 507 of the family's 1533-position model. The record is from RNAcentral.